Molecule: small RNA, 146 nt
Filed under: Brevibacillus choshinensis
Lineage: Bacteria; Bacillati; Bacillota; Bacilli; Caryophanales; Paenibacillaceae
Description: c-di-AMP sequence
Rfam family: c-di-AMP riboswitch aptamer (ydaO/yuaA leader)
About the family: This family represents a conserved RNA structure found upstream of the ydaO and yuaA genes in Bacillus subtilis and related genes in other bacteria.
Source: RNAcentral
UUGCAAAUCUGGCCAAAUCCCGAGGCACUCGGGAACGGAGGACCCAAUCAGUAGGGGUUAAUCCCACGAAUUGUCGUGGGAGGGAUGAGAAACUCUUUCGCCAUCCUACCCGUCAGCUAACUUCGUCGGCUAAAGCGAGGGAGGUC